GACGAACGCUGGCGGCGUGCUUAACACAUGCAAGUCGAACGAUGAAGAAAAGAAUCGAAGCUUCGGCAGAAAUUCAUUUCGGAUUAGUGGCAGACGGGUGAGUAACGCGUGAGCAACCUACCUCUUACAAAGGGAUAGCCUCGGGAAACCGGGAUUAAUACCAUAUAACAUUGCGACGAAGCAUUUCGAUGCAAUCAAAGCUACGGCGGUAAGAGAUGGGCUCGCGUCCCAUUAACCGGAUGGUGAGGUAACGGCUCACCAUAGUGACGAUGGGUAACCGGCCUGAGAGGGUGAACGGUCACACUGGAACUGAGACACGGUCCAGACUCCUACGGGAGGCAGCAGUGGGGAAUAUUGCACAAUGGAGGGAACUCUGAUGCAGCGACGCCGCGUGAGUGAUGAAGGAAUUCGUUUCGUAAAACUCUGUUCUAUGGGAAGAAAGGGACUGUACCAUAGGAGAAAGCUCCGGCUAAAUACGUG
This 480-nucleotide ribosomal RNA is filed under the name uncultured bacterium. RNAcentral describes it as "partial 16S ribosomal RNA". It matches the Rfam family "Bacterial small subunit ribosomal RNA", at positions 28 to 507 of the family's 1533-position model. The record is from RNAcentral.